CUCUGCCGCUGCUGCUGCCGCCGCCUUUGCCUUACGGCCUGGAGCACCAGGCCGAAGCCGAAGGGAGCGUCCGGAUCCCGGAUAGCAGCCAGGACCCGGGCCUUCACGUUCCGGCGCCAGGGACUGGACAGAAUGUGCGGCUAUUAGGUGCCCAGUAGAUCGACAGCCCCUCCGUGCCGGCCCUUGGCCAAGUAGGGACUCGGAAGCUACCCCUACGGCGUCCGCGCCCGGAGCCCUGGCUCUUCUACCUGCCUGCAGAUACAAACCCCACUCCCUGCGAAGAUGGUGUACACGCAGCCCCGAGCACAGACCCGAAGCUGUCCACCCUUCUUGGGCGCCGUCGCGGUCUGGCCGCUGCCCUUCGAACCCAUGGUGGGUCCCAGGCAGCUGCCAGACCCCCCUACCCCAGAGUCCCACUCCUCCAGAGCCUUCCUCUCCCAGUGACCCCAGGAAGCCCAAGCAGGUGCCACGGCCACACACCUCGCGACCCAAAGGGCAGAGACACAAGCACGCUACCACCGCCCACCAAUGUGCGAGUGCAACUGAUUCACGCACGGGGCACAUGCUCUGAGUUUCUGGCAGGUUUUCCCUCUAUAGUUCAGGGGAUUCCACAUUGUAUUUAUUUGCACAUGUUAGAUAAUCACGUGGUUCUGUCCCAGGGGACCUCCAACGACCUCCAAUGAGGUAGGUUAAGGGAACAGGAUUUUUCAAAAUCAGGAGAAUAAUCAGAAACAUAACAGCUGCUUCUAUUAAGAGGUAGAGAUGAGCUAAAGUUAAUAGAAACUGCACGUGCCAGCGGCCAAAAUCCAGUUUAGCUAGCUGGAAAACCCGACCCACGCUGCUUGCAGACGCCGGGGAUAGAAUGACAAACCCUAGGCAGCCAAUGAAUCGCAGCCUAGGAGCAGUACAUCACCAGCACGGGUUCCCAUUGGCUGGGGUGCCCUUCCCUCUCUUGUCAGCGGCUUAACCAGUUCACGAAUUUGACCUACACCACAUUCGCAGGAAAAGAAGUUAGAAGAAAAGUCCGUAUUUUUAAAAGAUGUUCUGAUGCA
RNAcentral lists this long non-coding RNA (1052 nucleotides) under Homo sapiens (human). RNAcentral's name for it is "non-protein coding lnc-DHRS7-1:14". Lineage: Eukaryota; Metazoa; Chordata; Mammalia; Primates; Hominidae. The record is from RNAcentral.